GAACGCACCGCAAGGUGAGUGGCGCACGGGUGAGUAACGCGUGGGAACCUGCCCUGGAGUGGGGGAUAACCCGGCGAAAGCCGGGCUAAUACCGCAUACGUCCUGAGGGAGAAAGAUUUAUCGCUCUAGGAGGGGCCCGCGUCGGAUUAGCUAGUUGGUGAGGUAACGGCUCACCAAGGCGACGAUCCGUAGCUGGUCUGAGAGGAUGAUCAGCCACACUGGGACUGAGACACGGCCCAGACUCCUACGGGAGGCAGCAGUGGGGAAUAUUGGACAAUGGGGGAAACCCUGAUCCAGCAAUGCCGCGUGAGUGAUGAAGGCCUUAGGGUUGUAAAGCUCUUUCGGCGGGGACGAUGAUGACGGUACCCGCAGAAGAAGCCCCGGCUAACUUCGUGCCAGCAGCCGCGGUAAUACGAAGGGGGCAAGCGUUGUUCGGAAUUACUGGGCGUAAAGGGCGCGCAGGCGGCCGACGUAGUCAGGCGUGAAAGCCCCGAGCUUAACCUGGGAAUUGCGUUUGAUACUGGUUGGCUGGAGUUCGGGAGAAGAUGGUGGAAUUCCCAGUGUAGAGGUGAAAUUCGUAGAUAUUGGGAAGAACACCGGUGGCGAAGGCGGCCAUCUGGACCGAAACUGACGCUGAGGCGCGAAAGCGUGGGGA
Molecule: ribosomal RNA, 655 nt
Filed under: uncultured forest soil bacterium
Lineage: Bacteria
Description: bacterial SSU rRNA
Rfam family: Bacterial small subunit ribosomal RNA
Source: RNAcentral